RNAcentral lists this long non-coding RNA (1107 nucleotides) under Durio zibethinus. RNAcentral's name for it is "long non-coding RNA (DZIB_LNC001018)". Lineage: Eukaryota; Viridiplantae; Streptophyta; Magnoliopsida; Malvales; Malvaceae. The record is from RNAcentral.
UUCCAUUCCAUAAUUGAGUCUUGGGAUAACAAUAUGUAGCAUAUGGCUGGUUGGUUUUAAUGGCUAUAAAUUGGAAACCUUUGCAAUUGCAUAUUUGCAGGUAUAAGUUCUUACACCGCUCUAUGAUGUAAUUUGGGAACAAACCAUAAUCGUAUUGAUGGAGUUUCAGCAAACUAGCCUCAGAUUCGUUACAAAAAAUAUCAAACACCGGUUCACAACCAAAGGACUAAUCUGUGUGAUUUUUUCAUCUUAUAUCCUGGAAUGCAAGAACAUUGCUUCCAUGAAUAAGGGAAGGUUGAGCUGUUGAGGGAAGGCUCGCCAUGAAACAACCAUGUUUCUCCCCCUUCACUUAAGACUGUAUGGCCGAAUAUUGCCAUCAAAAUCAAGCUUCAAUCUUCUAUGCAUCUUUGAGCCAUAAUCGGUGGAACUAAAACUUGCCCAUUCUGUUAGCGUUGUACGUGGACCUUCCAGCUUCCAGUCUCAAAAGCCAAGGAAAUGACCAAUAGAAAAUUGAAACCUCAGCACCCUCCCAUAAAAGACAAGGACGUUAUCAGUGUCAAAAAAAUAAAUAACAGUAAUACAUUUAUGAAUUACAUCAAAUAAACAGCAUCCACCUUGGCAUUUACACAUUCCAUUGUCGGUAAAAACCCGAAACCCCGAUUCCCAUUUCUUGCACUUCUAUGUCAUGUGGCUUUUUUACUGGCCCAAAAAUCAAUAUGCCAGUGUUAUCAAGUGAUUUAGCCUGUGGGCCUGGUAAUGAGUUUGAACUGUGUGAGUAGAGUGGACCUACUGAAAAAUGGAAGCUCCAAUUCCCUUGAAUGCUUCGGCGUAUGUUGGGCUUGUUAUUGAUCCUGGCUUUUUUAAAGGGUCAAAAACUCCUGCUUUGGUCGUUUAUUUGAGGACGAUUAUAUGUAUUCCAUUUGUGAUUUUGUAUCGUACUAGUCCUUUUUUAUUAUUAUUUUUUUUUCAUCCUAGCUUUUUAUCGCUCUAAUCAUUUUCAUUUGUUUUUUGGACUUAGUAACCAAAUGUUGGGUUCUAUGUUUCAGAGGCUAGAAGGAGAAAAUUGUAACAAAUUUGGGGAUAUUUUUCGUUUUGUAUGUCGUUAUC